RNAcentral lists this unclassified non-coding RNA (391 nucleotides) under Hedyotis purpurascens. RNAcentral's name for it is "partial external transcribed spacer". The record is from RNAcentral. Lineage: Eukaryota; Viridiplantae; Streptophyta; Magnoliopsida; Gentianales; Rubiaceae.
GGUAGCAUUCCUCAAGGACAUCGGUGCCACGCAGCGCGAGCGCCGGCGUGACACCGAACGUCGUUCGGAUGUAGCAUCGAAGCUAUUCCGGGCAGAUAGGAGUCGAUCACCCCGUGCCCCCCACGUUUUCUGCAUCCCGGAGUCCGAAUGAAAUCCGUGAGCCACGGCGACAACGCUUGCGUGUGUGCCGGGGAGCGCGAAUAUCACUUCGAGUUUCGCCCGAGACAGCACCGAAUGAACGGGUAGCCUAAGGCGAACGGGAAACUGUAGGCGAUCAAAUUCCGUCGGAGUAGGUACGCAACACAGGAAACCCGCUGAACGGCCAAUAUCAAUUGUGCCAAGAUUGAAGAGGAAUGCACGACUGGACGUCGCCGCUCGGAGCGGGGAUCCA